RNAcentral lists this ribosomal RNA (404 nucleotides) under uncultured bacterium. RNAcentral's name for it is "bacterial SSU rRNA". It matches the Rfam family "Bacterial small subunit ribosomal RNA", at positions 355 to 776 of the family's 1533-position model. The record is from RNAcentral.
UGGGGGAUAUUGCACAAUGGGGGGAACCCUGAUGCAGCAACGCCGCGUGAGGGAAGAAGGUUUUCGGAUUGUAAACCUCUGUCCUCUGUGAAGAAGAUGACGGUAGCAGAGGAGGAAGCUCCGGCUAACUACGUGCCAGCAGCCGCGGUAAUACGUAGGGAGCGAGCGUUGUCCGGAAUUACUGGGUGUAAAGGGUGCGUAGGCGGCUUAUCAAGUCAGGUGUGAAAAUUAUGGGCUCAACCCAUAACCUGCACUUGAAACUGGAAGGCUUGAGUGAAGUAGAGGUAGGCGGAAUUCCCGGUGUAGCGGUGAAAUGCGUAGAGAUCGGGAGGAACACCAGUGGCGAAGGCGGCCUACUGGGCUUUAACUGACGCUGAAGCACGAAAGCAUGGGUAGCAAACAGG